GACGAACGCUGGCGGCGCGCUUAACACAUGCAAGUCGAACGGAAAGGCCUGCUUUCCCUUGUGGAUUGCGGGUACUCGAGUGGCGAACGGGUGAGUAACACGUGAGUGAUCUGCCCCCAACUUGGGUAUAAGCCUGGGAAACUGGGUCUAAUUCCCGAUAGGACUGCAGGGUGGUGCCUGUGGUGGAAAACGAUUUUCUAGUGGUUGGGGAUGAGCUCGCGGCCUAUCAGCUUGUUGGUGGGGUAAUGGCCUACCAAGGCGGCGACGGGUAGCCGGCCUGAGAGGGUGGACGGCCACAUUGGGACUGAGAUACGGCACAGACUCCUACGGGAGGCAGCAGUGGGGAAGAUGGCACAAGGGGCGGAAGCCUGAUGCAGCGACGCCGCGGGGGGGAUGACGGCCUUCGGGUUGUAAACUCCUUUCGACCGCGAGGAAGCCACCUGGUUGGAAGGGUGGUGACGGUAGUGGUAGAAGAAGCACCGGCUAACUACGUG
Molecule: ribosomal RNA, 494 nt
Filed under: uncultured bacterium
Lineage: Bacteria
Description: partial 16S ribosomal RNA
Rfam family: Bacterial small subunit ribosomal RNA
Source: RNAcentral